UGGGGAAUAUUGCGCAAUGGCCGAAAGGCUGACGCAGCGACGCCGCGUGUGGGAUGAAGGCCUUCGGGUCGUAAACCACUGUCGGGGGGGGCGAAUACUUGGGCCUCGAAUAGGGGACCCGAGGGUGACGGUACCCCCAAAGGAAGCACCGGCUAACUCCGUGCCAGCAGCCGCGGUAAUACGGAGGGUGCGAGCGUUGUCCGGAAUCACUGGGCGUAAAGGGCGCGUAGGCGGUUCGGUAAGUCACUUGUGAAAUCCCGGUGCUCAACGCCGGGGCUGCAGGUGAGACUGCCAGACUGGAGCUCGGUAGAGGCGAAUGGAAUUCCCGGUGUAGCGGUGGAAUGCGUAGAUAUCGGGAAGAACACCGGUGGCGAAGGCGGUUCGCUGGGCCGAUGCUGACGCUGAGGCGCGAAAGCGUGGGGAGCAAACAGGAUUAGAUACCCCCGUAGUCC
RNAcentral lists this ribosomal RNA (452 nucleotides) under uncultured bacterium. RNAcentral describes it as "bacterial SSU rRNA". It matches the Rfam family "Bacterial small subunit ribosomal RNA", at positions 355 to 796 of the family's 1533-position model. The record is from RNAcentral.